This 245-nucleotide ribosomal RNA is filed under the name uncultured Myxococcales bacterium. Its description in RNAcentral is "partial 16S ribosomal RNA". It matches the Rfam family "Bacterial small subunit ribosomal RNA", at positions 524 to 768 of the family's 1533-position model. The record is from RNAcentral. Lineage: Bacteria; Pseudomonadati; Myxococcota; Myxococcia; Myxococcales.
GACAGAGGGUGCAAGCGUUGUUCGGAAUCAUUGGGCGUAAAGCGCACGUAGGCGGCUUGGCAAGUCGGAUGUGAAAUCCCUGGGCUCAACCGAGGAAGUGCAUCCGAAACUGCUUUGCUUGAGUGCCGGAGAGGGUGGUGGAAUUCCCAGUGUAGAGGUGAAAUUCGUAGAUAUUGGGAGGAACACCCGUGGCGAAGGCGACCACCUGGACGGACACUGACGCUGAGGUGCGAAAGCGUGGGGAG